Molecule: ribosomal RNA, 449 nt
Filed under: uncultured bacterium
Lineage: Bacteria
Description: partial 16S ribosomal RNA
Rfam family: Bacterial small subunit ribosomal RNA
Source: RNAcentral
AACGAACGCUGGCGGCAGGCUUAACACAUGCAAGUCGAACGCCCUAGCAAUAGGGAGUGGCGCACGGGUGAGUAACGCGUGGGAAUGUACCGUUUAGUGGGGGAUAACCAAGGGAAACUUUGGCUAAUACCGCAUACGCCCUUCGGGGGAAAGAUUUAUCGCUAAACGAUCAGCCCGCGUGAGAUUAGGUAGUUGGUGGGGUAACGGCCUACCAAGCCGACGAUCUCUAGCUGGUCUGAGAGGAUGAUCAGCCACACUGGAACGGGGACACGGUCCAGGCUCCUACGGGGGGCAACAGUGAGGAAUAUUGGACAAUGGGGGCAACCCUGAUCCACCCAUGCCGCGUGAGGGAUGAAGGCCUUAGGGUUGUAAAGCUCUUUUACCGAUGAAGAUAAUGACGGUAGUCGGAGAAAAAGCCCCGGCUAACUUCGUGCCAGCAGCCGCCGUAA